AAGUCCUAGCUUAAUCAAAGCGUCUGAGUUGCAUUCAGGAGAUGCAGGGUAAUGUCCUGCGGAUUUUA
Molecule: transfer RNA, 68 nt
Filed under: Nucifraga columbiana
Lineage: Eukaryota; Metazoa; Chordata; Aves; Passeriformes; Corvidae
Description: tRNA-Ala
Rfam family: tRNA
About the family: Transfer RNA (tRNA) molecules are approximately 80 nucleotides in length. Their secondary structure includes four short double-helical elements and three loops (D, anti-codon, and T loops). Further hydrogen bonds mediate the characteristic L-shaped molecular structure. tRNAs have two regions of fundamental functional importance: the anti-codon, which is responsible for specific mRNA codon recognition, and the 3' end, to which the tRNAs corresponding amino acid is attached (by aminoacyl-tRNA synthetases). tRNAs cope with the degeneracy of the genetic code in two manners: having more than one tRNA (with a specific anti-codon) for a particular amino acid; and 'wobble' base-pairing, i.e. permitting non-standard base-pairing at the 3rd anti-codon position.
Source: RNAcentral